RNAcentral lists this long non-coding RNA (356 nucleotides) under Citrus x clementina. RNAcentral's name for it is "Citrus clementina (C. clementina) long non-coding RNA (CCLE_LNC003922)". The record is from RNAcentral. Lineage: Eukaryota; Viridiplantae; Streptophyta; Magnoliopsida; Sapindales; Rutaceae.
UUAAUUAAAUUUAUAUUUAUCCUUUUAUGUAAUUUCUAAUAACAAUAGAACAAUGUCUAUGAUUACAAAAGUGGGGCGUUAUACGGAUAUCAAAUGGGUGUAAAAAGCAUUACAAAAAUAGGAUGUUGUAUUUACCCGAGUUCGGCCUCAUUCUAGACCCCAUAAUUGUUACAGUUUACAACUUACAAGCCCAUUAGAGACAAUUAGCCAUUGAAUAGGGAUGGCAAUGGGGUGUGUGAGGGUGAGAGGCCUACCCCAUUCUCCAAUCAAUUAAAUGGGGUGGGGAAGGGGAUGAAGAAUCUUCAUGUGGGGAAUAAUUUCUUUAUUUUUAUCACAUUUUUCAUUUACCUGUUUCA